Mus musculus (house mouse) is the source of this 792-nucleotide long non-coding RNA. RefSeq annotates it as predicted gene, 46648. The record is from RefSeq and is a predicted model, not a curated record. The transcript has 8 exons. NCBI's taxonomy places the organism in Eukaryota, Metazoa, Chordata, Mammalia, Rodentia, Muridae.
UUUCAUCUCAAAUGAUCACGCCAAGGAAGCUCUUGUUGCUAUGACAACAGCAACUUUGGUUGCUAUGACACAGUAUCGGUUAUAGCCACUUAAGGAAGGAGUCUUUAGAACAUCUGUUCUAUGGGGCAUUCUAAUGCUACAGUGUUCAUCAAGUAGGUACAACAGAAGACUAGGGAUCAACACCAAGUUUUGCAUUGCGCUAACUGCCUGAAAUCCUUUGUGGCUUCCUGAGAGACAUACUUCUUCAGAAACCAAUCACAGGAAGCAGAGGGAAGAGAGACCAAGCAGCAUCAGAAAGCAGGCAUGGAGUGGCUUUGCCACUGCCAUCUUUAGAAGUCAGACCUUACUUCUCAGAGCAGACUCUGGCUCUCUGAGAUCCUUUCCGGGCUGAGGUUGCAUUCCCCCAACCCCCAGAAGACUCCUUGCCUCUCUUUAGUUGUUCCUGUGGGUGCUUGGCAGAGUGAUGAAAGCAUUGUCAUUUGGUAUUCUCACCACAGGGUUUUACAACAUCAUUUGAGAUAUAUAAAUGAAGAUAUUUCUUCCGGGUAUCAAGCCCAUCUGUGGAUGUUAUUUAAUGAAAUGGGAAGGAAGGAUACAAACCAAAUGGUACCAGGGACAGUCAGGCAAGUUCCAGAUCUCAGCAACGCAACCCAAACAAGAGAGGCAGGAAGAGAUGAGAUACCGGCAACCACCACCUGGACAGAGCUCGCUCCAAGGAAGACCGAAGCGCAUCUGCUGCCUUGUUUUGUUCGAAGGCUUGCUUUCACAUAGUUUGCUCUCCAACUAGAUUAA